This 588-nucleotide ribosomal RNA is filed under the name uncultured Planctomycetota bacterium. Its description in RNAcentral is "bacterial SSU rRNA". It matches the Rfam family "Bacterial small subunit ribosomal RNA", at positions 347 to 928 of the family's 1533-position model. Lineage: Bacteria; Pseudomonadati; Planctomycetota. The record is from RNAcentral.
GGCUGCAGUCGAGGAUCUUCCGCAAUGGGCGCAAGCCUGACGGAGCGACGCCGCGUGGAGGAUGAAGGCCUUCGGGUUGUAAACUCCUGUCACGGGUAAUGAAAGGUGCAACGUGAACAGCGUUGCAAUUGACGUACGCCCGAGAGGAAGCACUGGCUAACUCUGUGCCAGCAGCCGCGGUAAUACAGAGAGUGCAAACGUUGUUCGGAAUUACUGGGCUUAAAGCGCACGUAGGCGGCGCCGCAAGUGCGAGGUGAAAUCCCACGGCUUACCCGUGGAACUGCCUUGCAGACUGCGGUGCUCGAGGAUGGUAGGGGAGAGCGGAACUCCUGGUGGAGCGGUGAAAUGCGUAGAUAUCAGGAGGAACACCGGUGGCGAAGGCGGCUCUCUGGUCCAUUUCUGACGCUGAGGUGCGAAAGCUAGGGGAGCAAACGGGAUUAGAUACCCCGGUAGUCCUAGCCGUAAACGAUGGGCACUAGGUAGGGGGGUACCCAAUGCCUCCCUGCUGGAGUUAACAUAUUAAGUGCCCCGCCUGGGGAGUAUAGUCGCAAGGCUGAAACUCAAAGGAAUUGACGGGGGCUCACACAA